This 253-nucleotide ribosomal RNA is filed under the name uncultured bacterium. Its description in RNAcentral is "partial 16S ribosomal RNA". It matches the Rfam family "Bacterial small subunit ribosomal RNA", at positions 524 to 776 of the family's 1533-position model. The record is from RNAcentral.
UACGGAGGGUGCGAGCGUUGUUCGGAAUCAUUGGGCGUAAAGGGCGUGUAGGUGGUCUGUUAAGUCAUGUGUGAAAGCCCUCAGCUUAACUGGGGAAGUGCGCAUGAAACUGACAGGCUAGAGUACCGAAGAGGAAGGUGGAAUUCCCGGUGUAGCGGUGAAAUGCGUAGAUAUCAGGAGGAACACCGGCGGCGAAGGCGGCCCUCUGGAUCGUUGCUGACGCUGAGACGCGAAAGCGUGGGGAGCAAACAGG